UCGUCAGCUCGUGUCGUGAGAUGUUGGGUUAAGUCCCGCAACGAGCGCAACCCUUGCCUUUAGUUGCCAGCAUUAAGUUGGGCACUCUAGAGGGAAUGAACAGGGAUAACCUGGAGGAAGGUGGGGAUGACGUCAAAUCAUCAUGCCCCUUAUGCUUAGGGCUACACACGUGCUACAAUGGGUGGUACAGAGGGCAGCCAAGUCGUGAGGCGGAGCUAAUCCCUUAAAGCCAUUCUCAGUUCGGAUUGUAGGCUGAAACUCGCCUACAUGAAGCUGGAGUUACUAGUAAUCGCAGAUCAGAAUGCUGCGGUGAAUGCGUUCCCGGGUCUUGUACACACCGCCCGUCACACCACGGAAGUUGGGGGCGCCCGAAGCCGGAUUGCUAACCUUUUGGAAGCGUCCGUCGCACCUUCUGUGUUAAUGCUAUAACUGGGGUGAAGUCGUAACAAGGUAGCCGUA
RNAcentral lists this ribosomal RNA (459 nucleotides) under uncultured bacterium. Its description in RNAcentral is "bacterial SSU rRNA". It matches the Rfam family "Bacterial small subunit ribosomal RNA", at positions 1052 to 1504 of the family's 1533-position model. The record is from RNAcentral.